GGGGAUGUAGCUCAGAUGGUAGAGCGCUCGCUUAGCAUGCGAGAGGUACGUGUAUCGAUACCCCGCAUCUCCA
Ipomoea nil (Japanese morning glory) is the source of this 73-nucleotide transfer RNA. It matches the Rfam family "tRNA". Rfam says of the family: Transfer RNA (tRNA) molecules are approximately 80 nucleotides in length. Their secondary structure includes four short double-helical elements and three loops (D, anti-codon, and T loops). Further hydrogen bonds mediate the characteristic L-shaped molecular structure. tRNAs have two regions of fundamental functional importance: the anti-codon, which is responsible for specific mRNA codon recognition, and the 3' end, to which the tRNAs corresponding amino acid is attached (by aminoacyl-tRNA synthetases). tRNAs cope with the degeneracy of the genetic code in two manners: having more than one tRNA (with a specific anti-codon) for a particular amino acid; and 'wobble' base-pairing, i.e. permitting non-standard base-pairing at the 3rd anti-codon position. The record is from Rfam. Lineage: Eukaryota; Viridiplantae; Streptophyta; Magnoliopsida; Solanales; Convolvulaceae.